GUGACGUCACUGGAAGAAGCUGCCGGGCGACUGGAGGAGCAGCCGUCGGAAGAUUCCUGCGGGUAAGAACACUUAGAGUAGAAGCGGGAGUGGCCCCCAAGCGGGAAAUGGGCCAUAUCAAUUUAGACCGAUAGAUAAAGAUCCGGUUCUUUUACGGCCGGAAGCGACGGCCGUAAGUCGGAGCCGGGUUCAGCCUAGAAAUUGCUUAAUUACGCUCGAGCCGCGUCUUAGGGCGGGAGGGGGCCGACGUGUGUGGCGCAAUGGCCGCGUUACGGUGGUAGGCCGGAAGCUAAUUGCCCACCGACGGACGGUAAAUGGAAGUGGGGAACCGUCUCGGACGGAGGAAACGGCCUUCCUCCCCGUCCCGAUCCGUCCGCUCGACCGGCCGAGACGAUGGCACGGGGUCGAGGUUAGCCUCGGGCCGACCACUAAAUCAACAAACCGCGUGCGCCGAACCCAUUUUCUCGAUGGGCAGACAAAUGACGCAUUAUUUAUCGGCGGGCUAAGUACCGCCGAUGACUUCUGUUUCACCCAACCUAUCAUCAGGGUGCUAAGUCAGCUCCGUGCGACCGGCGCUCAUUAAGCCGUUGCAUGCCAAGCGGCUAUAAAGGUGGCGGCCGGAUUCCGAUGAUAUAUUGGCAGAAAUAAGCGGGUUGCCGGCCAUUCCCGUCACCGGGGGUGGGAGGCUCUUCCCCUCGGCCUAAUGGGCGCUAACCCCGCGCCCGGCCCAGGCGCCGGUCCCGUGGGAACCGGACACUUUAUUAAGGUGACGCACGUCGGCGGCGCUUUGUGUCUCCGGCGACCAAAUCUGAAUCUGGAGCUUUUUAAUUCCUCCGAGGAGGGAGGAGAGUGGAGAUGCGGGGCCAGACACGCCAAAUAACAUCCCGACAGCCGACUGGACCUGAAUAUCAAAUACCGGCGCGCUUUGGCAGCGGUGCGGCGUCUGCGCUCUUCCACCAAGCUACGCCUGGCCGGUGGGCAUCCGGAGAUGGAGAUUUUCCGCCCGCCCGAUAACUGGUGGCCGAGCCGCGGUACGGGAAGGGAGUGGGGGGCCGGCCCGGUGGAAAUGGGGCGGCGGCCGGUGCGGGCCAGCUGGCCAGAGGACGGUAGCAGGCGGAUUGGGUUGGGCCAUAGUGGUCGAGUAGUCACCGAUAACCGGCCCAGAGCGAAAUUUGGGAGGUACCGACGGGGACCGGGACCAUCGACCGUUCGGCGUUAAUAGAACAGCCGCUAGGAAGAGACCGGCCAGAUUUUGGAGAUAGGGCCAAGUAAGCCGGGCCGUUUCCCAUCACCCGUGAUGGGCCUCCGCAUCCGGUCGCCGACCGGUCGAAAUUUAAGCGGACCCAACGGCCCGGGGCAACCAGAAAAGGCGCCGGCUCUGGCCCACUCCGACCGGCUGGCACGGUACGCCUGUGUCCGGACACAAAAUGCGAUACGAGGUGGGGACGGUGCCGGUCUAGACCACGGUAUUUGACCCCGAUCUCAGUCGGGCCCAACCCAACGGUGGUCCCCACCACCACUACCGUUUAAUUUUGGCUCCUGGACCACCAUUUUAUUUACCUAGGGAUGUACACGCUCCGGGACCAGUCGACUUUCCAUCCUCGGUAUCCAGCUACCGGGUCGAAUAGUAAUCGGACCAAAAAUAUAAAAUUCAGCUCGGCCCGAGUCUAAGUAACCGAUGGGAAAUACCGGAUGACCUGAUCCGAUGGGGGAAAACGAAACACCGCUGUACGGGUCUACCGAGCUCUCCCAACAUUCGGCCCAUAAGACGAUUUUAUCCGACCCGCCGAGGUUGGUUCCUUACCAAGCAAGAGUUGGGUAUAUACAGGCCGAAUGUUUAAUAUCUUCCGAAAAAUAUGUAAAUAUUCUGGACAAUUAUUUACUUUAAUUUAAUACAUCUUAAAAAUACACUUAGUUGUUUAACUGGGAGAUAGGUGUGGUAGGUGUAGGCUGGCCGAGAAUUUCGUUUUUAUCGUAUUUCGACCGCCCGGCGCUAGGCGGCGGCACCCGGAAAGCCAAAGUUGUUUAAGGCGGCCAUAAAGACGAAGGAGUGCAAGGCGCUAAACGGAGACAGAGCGUAAAGUAAAUAUUACUUUGUGGUUAAUUAAGACGAUUGGCUUUGGAAAUGGAAAUGGCUAGAGCCGGGCCUCUGGGAAAUUGCGGAGCGGCCAAAAACUAUCGUUACUUGGCCGGCUGUCGACAGUUAAUGGCGGUCGGCCGAUAUAAUUGUAGAAAACGGAAGUCCUCCGUCUGUUUUCAACCGGCCGGUGGGAAAAUGGUGGAGACGGCCCCAUCUGACGGAAAAGUUAGGAAUUAAAACGACCGCGGCCGGUGAUAGAGUCCAGGUGGAGAUGGAAAGGAAGAACGGCGGUUAAUCCACUCGGUCGGCCCGCUCUUCCACUGGUAGAAAAUUUGAUUUAAUAUAGACGGAAAAGCGUUACGGGUGUGGCGCUCUUCACCCUACCGUAUAUAAAUAGACCUGGAAACGGACCGACUCUGCACUACCCACAUCGAUCCGCCUGGGCUGGUAACCGUCCGUGGCUCCGGAGAUUUUUUCCCUCCGGUUUUCCGUCUUAUCCCUUAAUUUCCCGGUAAUUAACCGUGGAGGAGGGGCAGGCCUAACCCGGGACGGAGAAGGUGGCUACCGUAGUAUAAAAAGAGAUGGCGGGUGGUUAGCCGCGGGGAUAAAAAGACGGACCACCGGGCGAGACUGCCCGUUCGGAUACGUCUUAACGCCGGAAAAUGAUGGCGGAACCAUCGGGAAAUUUGCUCCCACCCAUCCUGGCCCGCCCCUUCGUCGGAAUGGACGGGGUAGGCCGUAUGGAUGGUUUUUAAGAAAGCGCGUCCGAUGAGCGAACGGUGGCUGGCGGGAGGGCAGUUUAAGGCGCCAGAAAGCGGUACGACCCUUGGCCUUAUAUUUCGGAAAGCCACCUUCUCUAAUAGUUACCUACCGUAUGGGUGGACGGCCGACCGGUAUAUACCGACCGGCUGGGAAAAUAACCACGAACGGAAAAACCGGGGCCACCGGCCAUGGUUCGACGGGUCCGGUGCCCGUUCCCUCAUCUAAAGCGCUUUAUCCGAGUCCAGCCACUUCGUCCCGGAGGAAGCGAAUUAAAAUCGACCCUCCCGCUAAUACCGACUAGCUGGGACGGACUCGAGGAUUAAGGUUUACAUCGGCGGGUUAUUACCGAGCAGGGUACCACCGGCCGGGACCUGGAGGAUAGCUUUCCAUUGUCGAUAUAUCGGCGCGAUAAAAUGGGAUUUAAAGGGAAAAGGGAAACGGAAUACGGGGGUGGCUCCCGGAUCCCAUGGUGUCUGGACAUAAACACGCUAUCGGGAAAUUCCAAUUGCGCGUCCAUAAAUUACAAUUCGGAAGGGGUACCCGGUGGCGGUGGCAAAUUUUCUGCCGCUGUCCCAUCCGGAGGUGGAAAACUCGGUGCGGGUUUUUCCCUUCGGGCGGCGCCCGUUUCCACCCGCCGCUAAUUUUACUUUACUUACCGGUGGAAAAGAACGGUCGGGGAGGGGAGUGGGUAAACGGCCGGAGUGUGGCCGCGGCUAGAUAAGACCCGAGUCUUAUUUACCCGCGGGACCGCCGCCCGUCCCUUUCCACUUCCGUCCGCUGGGUGGCGGAUCCGGAUGGCGGAUUUGUACGGGGAAAAGCGCGGUAGGGGUGGGACCGUGUGGAAAACACUAACUACUGGACUUUUUUUUCUUGGCAGCCCGACGGAAGAAUGGGAAGGCGGAUCAUCCCAGAGUGGACCGGAGUCUCCG
This 3771-nucleotide long non-coding RNA is filed under the name Androctonus crassicauda. Lineage: Eukaryota; Metazoa; Arthropoda; Arachnida; Scorpiones; Buthidae. The record is from RNAcentral.